Long non-coding RNA from Cyprinus carpio (common carp), 692 nucleotides. The record is from Ensembl. Lineage: Eukaryota; Metazoa; Chordata; Actinopteri; Cypriniformes; Cyprinidae.
UAAAUCUACUUUUUUUCCCGUCCACUAUAUGAGGUAAAUAUUUGCUGAUAGGAGUAGGGGAAAAAAGACAUGCAAAGUACUCUCCCCAGAGUGCAGAGAUGAAAAGAAAAAAAAAAUCAUGAAAAACAAAUAAUGAGGAAAAAUAUGCAGCUUUAGCUAAUUAAUGUUGAACACCAGGAUUAUGACUUGUAUAAAUGCAUUAAGAGCCACAGCAUAAUUUUUGAUGAGAGUGAGUAUGCAGUGCAACUUUAGGACAUUCCAUGUGGGACACAGUUUUAAAUAAUUGAAAUUCAUGUUUGCAUAAAUUAUUGUUUUAAACAGGGGCCACGUCCAUUGCAAAUGAUGAUUAGCAUUAAAACACAAGCUGGUGGAACAGAAAGCGGUCAUUAGCAAGUUUUUCUCACAGCUGUCAGAAACCUUCUGUCACCCUGUGCCAAGACAGCGUUCCGCCCACUGCUAUUUCACGCCAGGGACAGAGAGAGACAGAGAGACAGAGAGAGAGAGAGUGAGAGAGAGAGGGAGAGAAGGAGAGCAUGCCGGGCGCCAGAAGCGGCAUCAACAAACAGUUAAUGCUUUACACUCCAGUCCAGUUGGUGGCAGUAAUACAUCAUAAGUUAGCUUGUCAACCACCAUUAAAUCGUACAAGAAGAAGAAGAAGAGUCUUCAGCGUAGCCAUUUUGAACAGGUGGUGA